CAACAAACUACGUAGCUGAUACUCUUCCAUGAUAACUGCUUUUGUGUAGUUUAUACACUAUACUGCAUUUAAGAUGUUAAAUGAAUACACAUGCUAAAGCUGAAUUUGCACAUUAAGCUGUGGAGUCAUUUUAAGUGAAUUUUGAAUAUUGAGAAAUGAGAGAUCAUUUAAUACUCAGUCUAAAUCAUGAUUUUCAUUGUCCUGGGUAUAUUAAAGGGGUUUGAGGGGAAGCAAGAUAUUAGAGUAGUUAAUGAACAAUAUUUUAAUAUUGACUUUAAAAUACUGUAAUAAAUCCUUUGUGGAGAGUAGGCAGGAAGUGUUUCUCUCAGAACUAGAAGGCAGUAGCAUUUAAGAACUUAAGUUCCCAUCAGAUACUGUCUAAGUAGAAUGGACAGAAUAACACUUGGGAUCAUUACUUAGAGAAUGCCCAGUUGUCAUUAUGUGAUUCAGUUGAACACAGGAUCAUUUAUCAUUUGGCUCUUGAAGCAACCUGUAAUGGCAACAUGUUUUGGAAGUUGAACAUAAUGAAUAUAAAGCCCCCACAAAAAGAGACAUUUGUUCACAUAAUCUCUGAACUGACCAGUCUGUAAUUGAAAACAGAAAGAUAAAAUUAAUCUCAUACUGUCAGGAAGGCACAUAUUCCAUCCCCCCAGUAUUCUGUCCAUUUAGAAAACAAGUGUUAACACCUCUCCAGUUGGCAAGGGGGCUGACAGUUCAGAGUUCUCUUGGUUAACAUCAUGGUACUUAAACUGUUUAUCCACUCCUUAUGUCAUCAGGCAUGUUAUCCACUGCCACUGUGCUAGGUUUUAAAAUCUAUCUUAGGGAGUUCUCGUCGUGGCGCAGUGGUUAACGAAUCCGACUAGGAACCAUGAGGUUGCGGGUUCGGUCCCUGCCCUUGCUCAGUGGGUUAACGAUCCGGCGUUGCCCUGAGCUGUGGUGUAGGUUGCAGACGAGGCUCAGAUCCUGCGUUGCUGUGGCUCUGGUGUAGGCCAGUGGCUACAGCUCCGAUUCGACCCCUAGCCUGGGAACCUCCAUAUGCCGUGAAAGCAGCCCGAGAAAUGGCAAAAAGACAAAAUAUGAAAAAUGACUUAAGCAUUAGCCACAGAAUUUCAAAGGAGCAGUGUUAAUAGCAUUAUUUCAGCUUUUUGGGCUGUCAUAGCUCAUUUUAUUGGAUCAAGGCUCUUGUUUUUCAGUAGCCAUCAUUAUAGCUUCUUAUUUCUGUGUUUGUUGCCUUACAAUCACAGUAUGGCUGCCCCAACUCCAGGCAUCACUAUUGUAUUCACAAGAAAAAAGCCAUCGAGGGUAGGGUCAGUUAUUAAGGGACAAGCUAGAGAAAAAAAUCUGCUAGUGCCCACAACACAUCCUCUUACAUCUCAAUGAACAGAAAUGGAUCACAUGGUUACUAUGAGUGUGGAAUAAACUGGAGAAACAGCUCCUUUUUUGCUCUAGAAUAAUAGACAAGAGAUAGGCCCACUGAAAUUGGCUAACGAGUUAGCUAAUUCAAAGUUUCUACCGCUGCAGCCCAAAUUAGCCAUUGUUGCCUGCAGCUUGAUGUCACCCUUUGUGUUUUUCUUGUAUUUUGUCCUGAAGCCCAGCAGGCUCUUCUGUGCUUGAUGGAGUACAUCACCAGACCAUGCAAACCAUGGGGGCAGGGAGUGGCUCUAGAGGCAGAAGCAGGCAGUGUUAGUUCUUAGAGAUCUACCCACAUGUUACAGGAAAUCAUUGGUAUGAGGGUGUUUCUAAAGCAGAAGCCAAUUAUGACGUCAGGAAUCUGGGCAAAUCCGGAUGUAUGAGGUGAGCUUCACAACUUAUUCAACUGCUGAAGGUACUGCCUUCAGUGAGGAGGCAGGGGUAACGGUCGCUGUGUGCCAUGGAGCCUUGUUUCUAUAGUGAGAAAGCCUCCUCAGGGUAAUGGUUUGUUCUUUCUGCUUUGACACUAGCAGUGGAUAACUUUUUCUGUAGCCGUCUCAGUGGAAACCUUUUUCCACUCUCCUAAAACUUGAGAGAGAUCAGAAGGAUAAUCUUGCUCUUUGGCAUUUAUCAUUCAGUCAAAAUGCUUUGACAAAGUCUCUUUCCACUUGGGUAACUUGACUUUUCAAAACAUCUUUAGAUACUGAACCCUAUUGUUCGCUGACUUCAAAAUGCUCUUCUUAAAAAUGUGUUAUUUGCUCAGAUCUUGACUCUGUAACCUGUGUUCUAUUUAAAUUCAUGUGGGGGCCUCAUGGAAUGCUUUGAUCUGGUCAGGCUCACCUCUAACAGCAAUUCCUACCAUCUCCGCUAGAUGGCGGUCACCCAUGAGAUGAUGCCCACAUUUCCCCUGGGCUUGACUCCUCCAAAACUUCUCCUCCUCCAAAACCUUCAAUUGGGAGCCACUGUGUCUUUCUUUGUUUCCUGGGUCUUGAGUCCUUACCGAACCCUGUAAGUCCUAUUUUGUCUUUACUGUCCAUCAAAUUGAUUUUCAUCCUUUGUUCCCUGGCACCUUCUAUUUAUUCUUCUUGAUUCUCACAAUGGUGACGUUGGAGUAGGAAAAUGAAUUUGUACCUGUUUUUGUUGUUGUUUAUUUUUAUUUAUUUUUGCUUUUUAGGACCGCACCUGCGAAUUACAGAAGUUCCCAGGUUAGUGGUUGAAUGGGAGCUACAACUGUUGGCCUACACUAUAGCCAUAGCAAUGUUGGAGCCGAGCCAUGUUUUCAACCUACACCACAGCUCGUGGCAACAACGGAUGCUUAACCCACUGAGUGAGAUCAGGGAUCAAACCCUGUGUCCUCAUAGAUCCCAGCUGGGUUCAUUAACUGCUGAAUCACAAAGGGAACUAUGAAUUUGUACUUGUUGAACGCAUAUUUUGUGGAAACUGCUGGGAACUUUGCCUCUGUUAUUUCUUUUGAUCCUCAGAACUGGAACUAGUCCUUAAAUUUUAACAUCCUUCAGUAGUUAAAUAUUCUUAGGAGAGCUCAGGUUCUUCCUGGCUUCAACUUUCCCCUUUAACAUAAUCUGGUCCCAUAUCUUUCAUAACUAUAAUCAAGUUUCACACUACCAAAGGUUAACAUCAGUUAAUGGUGAAAUACUCAUUUCUUCAAUUUCUUGCUCCCAAGUCCUUCUGUGGUCACCCUUAUCUGGACAUUAGAAUAGCUAUUUUCUUGGCCUCUUCUCUUCCAGCUUUUCCUACUCCACUCCUGCCUAUUUUUAUUUUAUCCUGCUAAAACUGUGAUUUGAGUGUAUCUCUCAAUUACUCUGAAUCCUUUGAUGGUGUCCACUCUUGUAUUAUAUUCAUUUUCACCUCUUUAUUCUGGCAGUUAAAUCUUUCUGCAGGCACACCCAGAUCUCUUCCCAUCCUCAUCUUCCUUGCUCUUAAGGAGCUUCCAAGUAUCUCCUAAUCUAAACUAUCUCUGUCCUAUGUUCUUCUGACAUCGUUGUUUUGUUCUUGACUUUGUUUAGUCUAAAACGAGGUCUUCAAUAUCCACUUGAUGAAAUCUAGUCUCUUAUGUAGAGCACAGUUUAUGUACAGUGUUAUGUUUCAUGCUAAGUUACUGUACACUAUCACUCUGCUUGGUCCUUCUAUAAUAAUGCAUACCACUUGCUUACAUGGUACUUUUCAAAUACUUCCUUGGAAAAGAAUACUUGAAAGUAUUCUUUGAAUGUAUACCAUUGAAUUUUUAAGACAGUUAAAGAUAGGAAAAUUGUGUACAUUUUCAAAUUGCAUAUAGCUUAAUAUUUUGACUGAUUUUUAAAAAUUCUUAAUCAAAUCUUGACUAGACCAAUAAAGUUUAAAGAGCUCAAAUGUAAUAUUAGUAACUUUAGGGGACACCUAAAAUUCCAUAGUCACCAAAAAUAAAAUAUUAACAUGAUGAGAUUACAGUUGUAAGAAAUACAAGGUGUCACAUUUGUCAUACAGUGGCAUUGACAGAAAGCUAGAAAGGUCACACAAUCUUGUCUCUUCAUCAUUAGAAAGUUUCUUUCAAAUCCUCUCUAUGUGUAGUUAGUUGUACCAUUUGAGAAGUUACCAAAGAAUCUAUUUCUGAUGUACAAUGACUCAGAUAACUGCUACUCCCUAAAUAUCUCAGAUAUCGCAAAAGAGCAUGAGCAAAAUGGGGGCCAGGAGGAAAAUGUAUAUGUUAAUGGAAAUUUAUUCCUUAAAAUGUUUUCAGAUAAAAAAUGUGUUAUAUAUAGCAGUGGUUUUCUAAGUGUGGUUGAUUUGUAUCAGUGUCACCUGAGAAAAAUGCCUCCUGCUCUUCUGAAUCAAACUGGGGAUGGGAUGCAGAUUCCUUUGCCUUAUGAAUCCUUUCAGGUGAUUCUGAUGAAUGUCGAAGUUAUAAAAAUCAUUGAUACAUACAACCACUUAUAAAUCCCACUGCUUUUAUUUAUAAAUUCUCAACAUUGUAAAGCAUGAUGUAUCAUCAAGAUAUAUAUUAAAAAUCCAUUUUUUUAGCCCAGAGAAAAUUUAUCACUAAAAUAAUGUCCUGGUAGUAGCUGAAUUGAAUGAUAAUAAUGAAAUAGGAAAACUUGGAUGUAUUUGCUAAGCACCUGUCUGUCAGCUUCUAUUUACUGGAAGGUCCAUCCCCACCACCCCCACCUCCCCGCCACCCCAGCCUCAUUAGACAGUGAGCUUCAUAAAGUCGAGUGUGUCUAUUCCAUUCAUGACCAGGCUCAUAUAUGCACUUGAUAUGUGAGAAACAUAGCAAUUCUGGAAAUCAAAUGUGAACAAGAAAAAUGUGUUUUACCACAAGGAGUAAUUCUAAUCAGGGAGACAGGGCAUAAACAAAUUUUAAAAUGCUUUUUCGUACAGUAGGAGUACUAACUGGGUGCCCUGAAAGAAAAGAGUCAAACAGGCUUCAGAUGGGCUCUCAGAGAAGGUCUGGUCAAGAAUGUGACAUUUACCAAGACCUGCAACUGGAGAAACAGCCUGAAGGUCUGGAGGGAAAGCUUCCCUGGCAGACAUGAAGAAAGGGGCAGGAAAAGAUAGUGUCACUGGAGAAACUGUCAGGGUGUCUGCUUAUUUAGCAAGAGGAAGAUUGACAGGAAAUGACGUUGGAGCGUCAACAACGGGUCAGAAUGAGAUCCUUGUGUGCUGGGGCCAAGAACUCAUUGGAAA
Molecule: long non-coding RNA, 5088 nt
Filed under: Sus scrofa (pig)
Lineage: Eukaryota; Metazoa; Chordata; Mammalia; Artiodactyla; Suidae
Description: lncRNA (ENSSSCG00065001658.1)
Source: RNAcentral